This 750-nucleotide ribosomal RNA is filed under the name thermophilic bacterium D52b. RNAcentral's name for it is "bacterial SSU rRNA". It matches the Rfam family "Bacterial small subunit ribosomal RNA", at positions 694 to 1444 of the family's 1533-position model. The record is from RNAcentral. Lineage: Bacteria; Bacillati; Bacillota; Bacilli; Caryophanales; Bacillaceae.
AGAAUUGGGGGAACCCCAGGGGGAAGGCGGCUUUUGGUUUGUAACUGACGCUGAGCGGGAAAGCGUGGGAGCAAACAGGAUUAGAACCCUGGUAGUCCACGCCGUAAACGAUGAGUGCUAAGUGUUAGAGGGUUUCCACCCUUUAGUGCUGUAGCUAACCCAUUAAGCACUCCCCCUGGGGAGUACGCUGCCAAGAGUGAAAUUCAAAGGAAUUGACGGGGGCCCGCCCAAGCGGGGGACCAUGUGGUUUAAUUGGAAGCAACGGGAAGACCCUUACCAGUUCUUGACUUCCCCUGCCAACCGGAGAGUUGGGGGGUUCCCCCUUCGGGGGGACAGGGUGACAGGUGGUGCAUGGUUGUCGUCAGCUCGUGUCGUGAGAUGUUGGGUUAAGUCCCGCAACGAGCGCAACCCUCGACCUUAGUUGCCAGCAUUCAGUUGGGCACUCUAAGGUGACUGCCGGCUAAAAGUCGGAGGAAGGUGGGGAUGACGUCAAAUCAUCAUGCCCCUUAUGACCUGGGCUACACACGUGCUACAAUGGGCGGUACAAAGGGUCGCGAACCCGCGAGGGGGAGCCAAUCCCAAAAAGCCGCUCUCAGUUCGGAUUGCAGGCUGCAACUCGCCUGCAUGAAGCCGGAAUCGCUAGUAAUCGCGGAUCAGCAUGCCGCGGUGAAUACGUUCCCGGGCCUUGUACACACCGCCCGUCACACCACGAGAGUUUGCAACACCCGAAGUCGGUGAGGUAACCCUUAC